RNAcentral lists this transfer RNA (72 nucleotides) under Alkalinema sp. RU_4_3. RNAcentral describes it as "tRNA-Met". It matches the Rfam family "tRNA". From Rfam's summary of the family: Transfer RNA (tRNA) molecules are approximately 80 nucleotides in length. Their secondary structure includes four short double-helical elements and three loops (D, anti-codon, and T loops). The record is from RNAcentral. Lineage: Bacteria; Bacillati; Cyanobacteriota; Cyanophyceae; Leptolyngbyales; Leptolyngbyaceae.
GGCUCCAUAGCUCAGCGGUAGAGCAGGGGACUCAUAAGCCCAAGGUCGCAAGUUCAAAUCUCGCUGGAGCCA